Molecule: long non-coding RNA, 1625 nt
Organism: Scylla paramamosain (green mud crab)
Lineage: Eukaryota; Metazoa; Arthropoda; Malacostraca; Decapoda; Portunidae
Exons: 5
Source: RefSeq, a predicted model, not a curated record
GUGUGUAACGAGUGUAUUAAUGUGUGUGAGGGAAAUAAAGGGGUGUGAGGUAUGACGGGCCAGCCUGCCGCAGCUCACCCCUGGCCUGUUAAACCUUCCGUCAGACUUAAACUAGGCAGUGGCGGUUAGGUCUGACCAGCGGACAUGAAAGCAUAGUCAUGUGGCUCCAUUCACUGCCACGGGUGACUUAUGGUGACGAGAAAUAAAUUAAAUAAUGGCUAAUAUAUACGGACGUCCGGAUCAUCAGUCUGCUUAUAUUUUUUAAAAAGUUGAAUUUUGGCGGGUUUUCAUUUCACGGAAGAGUUCAUUUGUUAAUAUUUCGUCAUGCGGGUUACGUUGAAACUAAAUAUUACGAGUAUGACUAAAUAAAAAGCCGAAAUAAUGUAAAAAAAAAAAAAUAAUAAUAAUGAAGGUACCGUGGAUUGGCAACACUUACAAUGUAAACAAACAGCUGAUCACGGGUCCGGAGCGAGGCAAGGAGAUAAAAAUAAUAAUAAACGAAGGAAAUAGAGCAAAUACUCGUAGAAGGACGACAGCAGGCAGAGAGGGGCAGGAGAAGUAGCAGAAUCAGGGAAAGGCGUAUUGGUGCCAGUAAAUAAGGUGGACUUGGAAUCUCUCAGGGGAAACUACAUGUAGUAAUUGAAUUAAAAUGGCUAGAACCAGAGGAUGGGGUUGUGCGUCCCCGGGAGUUCAGAGGGUGCCGGCGCUUCAACUGAUGGUGUGGACCCAUGAGACAGAGGCUCCACCAGGUGGCCAUCAGGGACGUGAGAGGCCUCCAGCAGUAUGCCUGGAGAUACUUGUGUGUGGAUGAGGGACGCAGACUCAAGAACCACAAGUGUAGGCUGACCAAGGUAACAGGGACGUGAGGGGUCUCCAGCAGCAUGCCUGAAGAUACUUGUGUGUGGACGAGGGACACACACUCAAGAACCACAAGUCCCUGAACACCUUUCCCCCCAUGAACUGGCUGCUGUUUACUGGGACACCCUUGCAGAACAGCCUGGCGGAGCUCUGGGCCCUUCUGAACUUCCUAAUGCUGGAUAAUUUUGAGUCCUUGUCCAAUGUGAGUGAGAUGCAGGAGGGAAGUGAGGAGAGGACUCUGAGGCAGGAAUGGGAGGGCCAGGCCAUCUCCACUCUAAUGAAGAUAAGAGAGAGGGAAUGUGGGUGUGUUUGGGAGUGUUUUGGUGGCUUUGGGUAGGUUUGGGUGUGUUUGGGGAGUUUUUUAUGAUUAUUUAAAGAGGUUUUUUUGGGCUGGAGAGGAGUUUUUUGGGCUGGAGAGAAGGUUUUUUGGGCUGGAGGGAAUUUUUUUGGGUCUGGAGAGGAGCUUUUUGGGCUGGAGAGAAAUGUUUUGGGCUGGAGAGAAGGUUAUGUUUUGGGCUGGAGAGAAGGUUUUGUGGGCUGGAGGGAAGUUUUUGGGCUGGAGGGAAGUUUUUUGGGCUGGAGGGAAGUUUUUGGGCUGGAGAGGAGUUUUUUGGGCUGGAGAGGAUCGUUUCAGGUCAGGUGGUUAAACACUACCGUCUAUCUAGUGGCUAUUGUAGGCUGUAUCUCUCUCUCUCUCUCUCUCUCUCUCUCUCUCUCUCUCUCUCUCUCUCUCUCUCUCUCUCUCUCUCUCUCUCUCUCUCUCUCUC